AAAUUGAAGAGUUUGAUCAUGGCUCAGAUUGAACGCUGGCGGCAGGCCUAACACAUGCAAGUCGAACGGUAACAGGAAGCAGCUUGCUGCUUCGCUGACGAGUGGCGGACGGGUGAGUAAUGUCUGGGAAACUGCCUGAUGGAGGGGGAUAACUACUGGAAACGGUAGCUAAUACCGCAUAACGUCGCAAGACCAAAGAGGGGGACCUUCGGGCCUCUUGCCAUCGGAUGUGCCCAGAUGGGAUUAGCUUGUUGGUGGGGUAACGGCUCACC
Molecule: ribosomal RNA, 272 nt
Filed under: Escherichia coli
Lineage: Bacteria; Pseudomonadati; Pseudomonadota; Gammaproteobacteria; Enterobacterales; Enterobacteriaceae
Also listed under: 6 other names
Description: partial 16S ribosomal RNA
Rfam family: Bacterial small subunit ribosomal RNA
Source: RNAcentral